UAGGGAAUAUUGCAAAAUGGGCGAAAGCCCGAUGCAGCAACGCCGCGUGGGCGAUGAAGGCCCUCGGGUCGUAAAGCCCUUUUUGAGGGGAUGAGGAAGGACAGUACCCUCAGAAUAAGCCUCGGCUAACUACGUGCCAGCAGCCGCGGUAAAACGUAGGAGGCGAGCGUUAUCCGGAUUUACUGGGCGUAAAGCGCGUGCAGGCGGAUUGGAGAGUUGGAUGUGAAAGCUCCCGGCUUAACUGGGAGAGGUCGUUCAAUACUUCCAGUCCUGAGUGCAGUAGAGGGAAGUGGAAUUCCGGGUGUAGUGGUGAAAUGCGUAGAUAUCCGGAGGAACACCAGUGGCGAAAGCGGCUUCCUGGACUGUAACUGACGCUCAGACGCGAAAGCUAGGGUAGCAAACG
RNAcentral lists this ribosomal RNA (403 nucleotides) under uncultured bacterium. RNAcentral describes it as "bacterial SSU rRNA". It matches the Rfam family "Bacterial small subunit ribosomal RNA", at positions 355 to 774 of the family's 1533-position model. The record is from RNAcentral.